This 152-nucleotide non-coding RNA is filed under the name Acetohalobium arabaticum. RNAcentral describes it as "FMN sequence". It matches the Rfam family "FMN riboswitch aptamer (RFN element)". Rfam says of the family: The RFN element is a highly conserved domain that is found frequently in the 5'-untranslated regions of prokaryotic mRNAs that encode for flavin mononucleotide (FMN) biosynthesis and transport proteins. This element is a metabolite-dependent riboswitch that directly binds FMN in the absence of proteins. In Bacillus subtilis, the riboswitch most likely controls gene expression by causing premature transcription termination within the 5' untranslated region of the ribDEAHT operon and precluding access to the ribosome-binding site of ypaA mRNA. RNAcentral also lists the same sequence under 1 other name. The record is from RNAcentral. Lineage: Bacteria; Bacillati; Bacillota; Clostridia; Halanaerobiales; Halobacteroidaceae.
UUACUGCUUCGGGACUAGGUGGAAUUCCUAACCGGCGGUAUUAUCUUUAGCUUGGAGUUUCAGUAGCUUGAAGAUUCAGUCCGCGAGCCUAUAAUGGUUGAUUUGGUGAGAUUCCAAAACCGACAGUAAAGUCUGGAGGGGAGAAGACAUCU